RNAcentral lists this ribosomal RNA (406 nucleotides) under uncultured bacterium. Its description in RNAcentral is "partial 16S ribosomal RNA". It matches the Rfam family "Bacterial small subunit ribosomal RNA", at positions 30 to 526 of the family's 1533-position model. The record is from RNAcentral.
AUUGAACGCUGGCGGCAGGCCUAACACAUGCAAGUCGACCGAGUGGCGGACGGGUGAGUAAGGUCUGGGAAACUGCCCGAUGGACGGGGAUAACUACGGGAAACGGUAGCUAAUAUCGCAUACCAUCGGAUGUGCACAGAUGGGAUUAGCUUGUAGGUGAGGUAACGGCUCACCUAGGCGACGAUCCCUAGACGGUCUGAGAGGAUGACCAGCCACCCUGGAUCUUAGACACGGUCCGGACUCCUACGGUAGGCAGCAGUGGGGAAUAUUGCACAAUGGCCGCAAGCUUGAUGCAGCAAUGCCGCGUGUAUGAAGAAGGCCUUCGGGUUGUAAAGUACUGUCAGCGGGGAGGCGUUACCCGCAUAAGAAGCACGGGCGAACGGCGUGCAAGCAGCCGCGGUAAUAC